CCUACGGGUGGCUGCAGUGAGGAAUAUUGGUCAAUGGACGAGAGUCUGAACCAGCCAAGUAGCGUGAAGGAUGACUGCCCUAUGGGUUGUAAACUUCUUUUAUAUGGGAAUAAAAUGUUCCACGUGUGGGAUUUUGUAUGUACCAUAUGAAUAAGGAUCGGCUAACUCCGUGCCAGCAGCCGCGGUAAUACGGAGGAUCCGAGCGUUAUCCGGAUUUAUUGGGUUUAAAGGGAUAGUAGGUGGAUUGUUAAGUCAGUUGUGAAAGUUUGCGGCUCAACCGUAAAAUUGCAGUUGAAACUGGCAGUCUUGAGUACAGUAGAGGUGGGCGGAAUUCGUGGUGUAGCGGUGAAAUGCUUAGAUAUCACGAAGAACUCCGAUUGCGAAGGCAGUUCACUGGACUGCAACUGACACUGAGGCUCGAAAGUGUGGGUAUCAAACAGGAUUAGAUACCCGUGUAGUC
This 460-nucleotide ribosomal RNA is filed under the name uncultured bacterium. RNAcentral's name for it is "partial 16S ribosomal RNA". It matches the Rfam family "Bacterial small subunit ribosomal RNA", at positions 338 to 795 of the family's 1533-position model. The record is from RNAcentral.